Molecule: ribosomal RNA, 425 nt
Filed under: uncultured bacterium
Lineage: Bacteria
Description: partial 16S ribosomal RNA
Rfam family: Bacterial small subunit ribosomal RNA
Source: RNAcentral
GUGGGGAAUCUUAGACAAUGGGCGCAAGCCUGAUCUAGCCAUGCCGCGUGAGCGAUGAAGGCCUUAGGGUUGUAAAGCUCUUUCGUGGGGGAAGAUAAUGACUGUACCCCAAGAAGAAGCCCCGGCUAACUCCGUGCCAGCAGCCGCGGUAAUACGGAGGGGGCUAGCGUUGUUCGGAAUUACUGGGCGUAAAGCGCACGUAGGCGGACUGGAAAGUCAGGGGUAAAAUCCCGGGGCUCAACCCCGGAACUGCCUUUGAAACUCCCAGUCUUGAGUUCGAGAGAGGUGAGUGGAAUUCCGAGUGUAGAGGUGAAAUUCGUAGAUAUUCGGAGGAACACCAGUGGCGAAGGCGGCUCACUGGCUCGAUACUGACGCUGAGGUGCGAAAGCGUGGGGAGCAAACAGGAUUAGAUACCCGGGUAGUCC